CCCUCGUACCUUUUGCAUCAUGAUUUAGCCAGUAAUAUUUUAAGCAAAGAGCGCUUUAGUUUUUAACCCCGAAACUAGUGUGAGCUACUUCGAGACAGCCUAUAGAUAGGGCAAAUCCGUCUCUGUUGCAAAAGAGUGGAAAGAUCUCCAAGUAGAGGUGAUAAACCUACCGUACCUAGUUAUAGCUGGUUGCCUGGGAACUGGAUAGAAGUUCAGCCUCACGGCUUCUGCCCUCGCCGCCUUAACCCCUAAGGAUCGCCUAAAGAAACCAUGAGAGUUAACCGAAGGAGGUACAGCUCCUUUGAUAGAAGCCACAACUUCUCCAGGAGGGUAAAGAUCAUAUUUAUUCAAGGCAAAAUGUUUUGGUUGGCUUAAGGGCAGCCAUCCCCACAGAAAGCGUCAAAGCUCAAACAUACCCGCCUCCCAUCCAAUAAGGAUAAUUUUAUCUUAGCCCCCUGACCCUUACCAGGCCGUCCCAUGCCCCCAUGGGAGCGAUAAUGCUAAUAUGAGUAAUAAGAGAGCCCGACUCUCUCCACGCACACGUGUACCUCGGAACGGACUCCCCACCGAAUAUUAACGGCCCCAGACAAGAGGGAAAUGAAUGAUAGGAGCGACAACUAGAAAAACACUCAACC
This 635-nucleotide ribosomal RNA is filed under the name Sillaginodes punctatus (spotted whiting). RNAcentral's name for it is "partial 16S ribosomal RNA". The stretch from base 1 to 505 matches the Rfam family "Bacterial large subunit ribosomal RNA", at positions 596 to 1301 of the family's 2925-position model. The record is from RNAcentral. Lineage: Eukaryota; Metazoa; Chordata; Actinopteri; Sillaginidae.